Molecule: long non-coding RNA, 766 nt
Organism: Zophobas morio
Lineage: Eukaryota; Metazoa; Arthropoda; Insecta; Coleoptera; Tenebrionidae
Exons: 4
Source: RefSeq, a predicted model, not a curated record
CUCAACAAGCACAAUAUAGUUGUUGUGUCCUCGAGUAGUCUCUUUGAAAUCUGAAUUAAAUAUCUGAAGCGCUUUGUGUUUCUACAAACUUCUAGCCGCUCUAGUAGAACAGUCUCCACUGUUUCGCUUACUGUUGGAAGUGGUGGGGAGGUAUUUGCUGGGAUCUAGUAAAGUACGCGAAGUCUUGGGAAGUACCACAACAGUGACAUCUAUCAUAUUGGGCUUAUUAUUUCUGGUUUGGACUAGUCAUAUAUAACAAACAUCUGAUAAAAAAAAGGUUGUGUAGGUUAAAACUAAACCACUUUAACCACUAGACAAUAAUUGCAUUUCUUGGUUUUAGUAGUCUCAAGUAAUUGAUGAGCUAAUAUUUUUAAACUUAAAGGUAAGGGGUGGGCUUGAAAGUAUUUUUACACAUAAAAAUGGGGCUGCGACAAAAGAAGGGGCAAGUUUUUAAAUGGAACGCUCUCAUACUGGUUUGCUUUUUAUUCCAAGUCUCUAAGAAUCGCUCUCUUCUUCCCGUUGUGCAGAAAAGUGACUGAGCCUCAGAACCAGCUGACACUACAAAUACUUGCUUACUGGUAUUCACGCGAAGAUUACGCGGGACUAUGCUAACCUGAACAGAGCAAAUUUCUUCCAAUGCUAACUGGGCGUAUUCCACCAAGAUUGUAAAUUGAACCUCUCAAAGUCCUCCUUAGUUUAAGCGAUGUAGAUUACGAUCCUGACUACUACGUUAAACAUAAAUGAUCCAAAUAAUCCCUAAUAACAA